Molecule: transfer RNA, 74 nt
Filed under: Seculamonas ecuadoriensis
Lineage: Eukaryota; Jakobea; Jakobida; Moramonadidae
Description: tRNA-Asp
Rfam family: tRNA
About the family: Transfer RNA (tRNA) molecules are approximately 80 nucleotides in length. Their secondary structure includes four short double-helical elements and three loops (D, anti-codon, and T loops). Further hydrogen bonds mediate the characteristic L-shaped molecular structure. tRNAs have two regions of fundamental functional importance: the anti-codon, which is responsible for specific mRNA codon recognition, and the 3' end, to which the tRNAs corresponding amino acid is attached (by aminoacyl-tRNA synthetases). tRNAs cope with the degeneracy of the genetic code in two manners: having more than one tRNA (with a specific anti-codon) for a particular amino acid; and 'wobble' base-pairing, i.e. permitting non-standard base-pairing at the 3rd anti-codon position.
Source: RNAcentral
GUGGAUAUAGCUCAGUCGGUUAGAGUAUUGGUUUGUCACACCAAUGGUCGCGGGUUCAAGUCCCGUUAUCCACA